RNAcentral lists this ribosomal RNA (41 nucleotides) under Frullania microcaulis. RNAcentral's name for it is "partial 5.8S ribosomal RNA". Lineage: Eukaryota; Viridiplantae; Streptophyta; Jungermanniopsida; Porellales; Frullaniaceae. The record is from RNAcentral.
AAAUGGACUCUCAGCAACGGAUAUCUUGGCUCUKGCAACGA